GGGAAUAUUGCACAAUGGGGGGAACCCUGAUGCAGCGACGCCGCGUGAGCGAAGAAGUAUUUCGGUAUGUAAAGCUCUAUCAGCAGGGAAGAAAAUGACGGUACCUGACUAAGAAGCCCCGGCUAACUACGUGCCAGCAGCCGCGGUAAUACGUAGGGGGCAAGCGUUAUCCGGAUUUACUGGGUGUAAAGGGAGCGUAGACGGCGUAUCAAGUCUGAUGUGAAAGGCAUGGGCUCAACCCGUGGACUGCAUUGGAAACUGGUAUGCUUGAGUGCCGGAGGGGUAAGCGGAAUUCCUAGUGUAGCGGUGAAAUGCGUAGAUAUUAGGAGGAACACCAGUGGCGAAGGCGGCUUACUGGACGGUAACUGACGUUGAGGCUCGAAAGCGUGGGGAGCAAACA
Molecule: ribosomal RNA, 400 nt
Filed under: uncultured bacterium
Lineage: Bacteria
Description: bacterial SSU rRNA
Rfam family: Bacterial small subunit ribosomal RNA
Source: RNAcentral